UCGGGGUAGGUUAUCUGCUUCGGGCGCGCCUUCUAACUUUACUCCGGACGAUUUCGAGCACCCCCACCACUUCCGGUGGUAGAAUCUGGGAACGGAGGCCGCUUCCGGAGAACGGGAGAAUGACGUGAUUCGUGGCUGAUCGGUUGUCGAUACGGAAACUGGAACACAGAAACUUCUCCGGCACUCACCAGAAAGGACUGUUUCAAUCAUUGUCUAGAAACAGGGAGUCGAUGGGCCGGAUGGAGGGAGCCCGAGGAAUGUCGAU
Centruroides sculpturatus (bark scorpion) is the source of this 265-nucleotide long non-coding RNA. RefSeq lists it as uncharacterized. The record is from RefSeq and is a predicted model, not a curated record. The transcript has 3 exons. NCBI's taxonomy places the organism in Eukaryota, Metazoa, Arthropoda, Arachnida, Scorpiones, Buthidae.